This 320-nucleotide long non-coding RNA is filed under the name Brassica rapa (field mustard). Its description in RNAcentral is "long non-coding RNA (BRAP_LNC005391)". The record is from RNAcentral. Lineage: Eukaryota; Viridiplantae; Streptophyta; Magnoliopsida; Brassicales; Brassicaceae.
ACGGCUUCAAGAAUCUCUCCGAACUGAUCAAAGUAACGACGCAUUUCUGCGGCGGGAGUUUCCCAUGCUAAUCCUCCAACGAACACUUUGGUGAAAGUCGUGUCUCCGAACGGUGAUCGGUAAUAGCUCGUUUGAUACAUUUUAUUUAUUAAAAAAAUAAACGAAAGAAGAUUUGUGUACAAACUUAGCUUCUUUAUAUCAUCAAAUGUUGUUUUUGGUUGGGCAGAGAGAAGUGAGACCAAUCAAAAGGUUGCAAUUUCAACCCUUGAAACGAUGUCGUGUUUGACUCCGACUCGGCGACUCUACACAUACGAAGAGAG